UCCCUCUCCAGACACUGUCCCUCUCUGCCUCCUCUGCCUCCUCUCCAGACACUGUCCCUCUCUGCCUCCUCUCCUCCCUCUCCAGACACUGUCCCUCUCUGCCUCCUCUCCUCCCUCCCUCCAGACACUGUCCCUCUCUCUGCCUCCUCUCCUCCCUCUCCAGACACUGUCCCUCUCUCUGCCUCCUCUCCUCCCUCUCCAGACACUGUCACUCUCUCUGCCUCCUCUCCUCCCUCUCCAGACACUGUCCCUUCUGUUUAUGUGAGUAUGUAUAUAGCCUACUGUGUGUAUCCGUUCUCUGUGAGUGUGUCUAUAGCCUACUGUGUGUAUCCGUUCUCUGUGAGUGUGUCUAUAGCCUACUGUGUGUAUCCGUUCUCUGUGAGUAUACUGUAAAACUGUGUCAAAACACACUACUACUAUCACCACUAACCCCAACGUUACCCUGACGUUUGUACAGUUUCAUUGUUGUAUCUUCUCUAACUGUUGUUGUUGUUGUUGAUUGCACUGGAUGAAAUCUCAUAGAGCGAAAUUGAUUGGAGAAAAAAAACAGAUUGUUCUGGAAAAACAGAAGAGGAGGAGGAGGAGUGCACAUGUAUUGUUUGCACUGUGUUUGUUUUUCUACUGGCUAGCCUUGGUUCUGUUCUGAGCUGUGUUUGUUUUUCUACUGGAUAGCCUUGGUUCUGUUCUGAUAAAUACAGCACUGUGUUUGUUUUUCUACUGGCUAGCCUUGGUUCUGUUCUGAUAAAUACAACACUGUGUUUGUUUUUCUACUGGCUAGCCUUGGUUCUGUUCUGAUAAAUACAGCACUGUGUUUGUUUUUCUACUGGCUAGCCUUGGUUCUGUUCUGAUAAAUACAGCACUGUGUUUGUUUUUCUACUGGCUAGCCUUGGUUCUGUUCUGAUAAAUACAGCACUGUGUUUGUUUUUCUACUGGCUAGCCUUGGUUCUGUUCUGAUAAAUACAGCACUGUGUUUGUUUUUCUACUGGCUAGCCUUGGUUCUGUUCUGAGCUGUGUUUGUUUUUCUUGGUUCUGUUCUGAGCUGUGUUUGUUUUUCUACUGGAUAGCCUUGGUUCUGUUCUGAGCUGUGUUUGUUUUUCUACUGGCUAGCCUUGGUUCUGUUCUGAUAAAUACAACACUGCAAUUCGCUGACUCCACGCCUCACUGUCUCUUUAUUGUAACGGUUUUCUUGAGGUGAAGGAGAGGCGGACCAAAACGCAACGUGGUGGUUAUUCAUGGUUCUUUAAUAUAGACACUAUACAUGAAUAAACUAACAAAACAAGACAUGUGGAAAAACCAAAACAGCCCUAUCUGGUGCAAACACAGA
Oncorhynchus tshawytscha (Chinook salmon) is the source of this 1324-nucleotide long non-coding RNA. Lineage: Eukaryota; Metazoa; Chordata; Actinopteri; Salmoniformes; Salmonidae. The record is from Ensembl.